This 733-nucleotide ribosomal RNA is filed under the name Analges poppei. RNAcentral describes it as "partial large subunit ribosomal RNA". Lineage: Eukaryota; Metazoa; Arthropoda; Arachnida; Sarcoptiformes; Analgidae. The record is from RNAcentral.
GAUUUCACAGAUAUUUUUACUUUUGAUAAUUUUUUAAAAUAUUUGUGAGGGGUGAUACGCUUUCGUUCUUUAGGUUAACUAAUUUGUUUUUAUUUAAGGGGGAAAUCUUGUUAAUAGAUUCUUUUGUAAAAUUUGUACAUGUGGAUUUUAAUAGUAAGUGGUUGUGUAAUAACUUUAGUUUUAUUAGGGGAAUUAAUACUAUAUUUUUUUUAUUAUAAUAAAUUAAUUAGUGGAUUAGUAGUUUUGUUUUUAUUUUGUUUUUAUUUUGUUUUUAUUUAAAGUUAAUAAUUAUUUUUAUUUACUGAUUUUUUCUUAGACUGGUUAAUAAAAUCUUAGCUACAAAUUUUGUAGUUGUUUCUGCUCUAUGCAUUCUUGUAAAUGGCUGUUUUGGACACUAAGGUAGCAAAAUCAUUAGUUAUUUAAUUGGUAACUUGUAUGAAUGAAUUUUCUGAGAAGAUAUUAAUUUUUUUCUUGAAUUUAUAAAUUUGUUGAGAAUAACAAUUUUUCCCAUAAGACUAAAAGACCCUAAAAUUUUUAUAACUUACCAUUAUGUGGGUUAUUUGGUUGGGGCAAUAGUAAAAAGUAAAUAUUUAGUAAUUUAUUUUUCUUUGAACUUUUUUUAUUGAUAGAAGGUAAAAUACUUUAGGGAUAACAGCUUAAUUAUUUUUAAGAGUUCUUAUUGUUAAAAUAGUUUUAGACCUCGAUGUUGGAUUGGAAGAACUUUUUAAGGCAG